UAACUGCGCGUCGGAAUGUGAACUGCAGGACACAUGAACAUCGACACUUUGAACGCAUAUUGCGGACCGUGGCUUGUACACUGUCCAUGCCUGGCUCAGGGUCGGUUACACAUCCAUCAAGGUUUUCCUUGCAUUGGGCUCUCGCGGCGCGAGUCGCGUGGCUUCAAGGUGUGUGGGUGCCUUGCUGGCGCCGUCGACUCUCGGGAAUUCUGUUCCUGGGUUGACUGUCAGCUCUGCUGCUCGCUGGAGUCUGCUGCUUAGGCGGACUCCGACCCUCUAACUUUUCGACCUGAGAUUAGGCAAGAUUACCCGCCGAAUUUAA
This 322-nucleotide unclassified non-coding RNA is filed under the name uncultured fungus. RNAcentral describes it as "sequence contains ITS1". The stretch from base 1 to 104 matches the Rfam family "5.8S ribosomal RNA", at positions 50 to 154 of the family's 154-position model. The record is from RNAcentral. Lineage: Eukaryota; Fungi.